AGAGGCCCUCUGUGGCCGGAGUGGGAUGCUUGCCUCGUCGUUGCGGCGACAAAGCAAGCAUUCCACCAGGCUGCUCACGCUGCCUGC
Myotis lucifugus (little brown bat) is the source of this 87-nucleotide non-coding RNA. The record is from Rfam. Lineage: Eukaryota; Metazoa; Chordata; Mammalia; Chiroptera; Vespertilionidae.